This 802-nucleotide ribosomal RNA is filed under the name uncultured bacterium. RNAcentral's name for it is "bacterial SSU rRNA". It matches the Rfam family "Bacterial small subunit ribosomal RNA", at positions 8 to 796 of the family's 1533-position model. The record is from RNAcentral.
AGAGUUUGAUCCUGGCUCAGGACGAACGCUGGCGGCGCGCUUAACACAUGCAAGUCGAGCGAGAAAGUCUCUUCGGAGAUGAGUACAGCGGCGAACGGGUGAGUAACACGUGGGUAACCUGCCCUGGGGAGCGGGACAACCCGAGGAAACUCGGGCUAAUACCGCAUGACUCGUGUGAUCUUAAGGUCAUACGGCAAAAGGUAGCUUCGGCCUCCGCCCUGGGAUGGGCCCGCGGCGCAUUAGCUUGUUGGUGGGGUAACGGCCUACCAAGGCGACGAUGCGUAGCUGGUCUGAGAGGACGAUCAGCCACACUGGGACUGAGACACGGCCCAGACUCCUACGGGAGGCAGCAGUGGGGAAUCUUGCGCAAUGGGCGAAAGCCUGACGCAGCGACGCCGCGUGAGGGAAGAAGGCUCUCGGGUUGUAAACCUCUUUCAGCGGGGACGAGGCCGACAAGGUUAAUAGCCUUGAGCGGUGACGGUACUCGCAGAAGAAGCCCCGGCUAACUACGUGCCAGCAGCCGCGGUAAUACGUAGGGGGCAAGCGUUGUCCGGAAUCAUUGGGCGUAAAGCGCGUGUAGGCGGCACGGUCAGUCCGGUGUGAAACCUUGGGGCUCAACCCCAAGCCUGCACUGGAUACUGCCGCGCUAGAGUCCGGGAGAGGGAAGCGGAAUUCCUAGUGUAGCGGUGAAAUGCGCAGAUAUUAGGAAGAACACCGGUGGCGAAGGCGGCUUCCUGGAACGGUACUGACGCUAAGACGCGAAAGCGUGGGGAGCGAACAGGAUUAGAUACCCUGGUAGUCC